GUGAAAUCACCAAGUCUGUAGAAGCUAAUGGCAGAAAAAAAUUCACUUUAAAUCACAAGAAUUCAGAAAACUUUUCAGCCACAAACUCAAGCUUGUUCAGCACCCAAAGGUUUGCACUGGAGAAAUGAGUUUUGAGCCUAGCAAAUGCCAACAAGCCUUACAAGAUAAGUAUUCACUAGAGCCAUCCCAGAAAGUUCACACUGAAGAAAGACAUUAUGAGUGUAGUGAAUGUGGGAAAUCCUUUAGCCAAAAGGUCACACUUACUAUAAACCAGACUCUUCACCCUGGAGAAAAACCCAUACAUAUAUGGCAAAUGUGAGAAGUCUUUCAUUCAAAGCUCAAAC
Molecule: long non-coding RNA, 344 nt
Filed under: Rattus norvegicus (Norway rat)
Lineage: Eukaryota; Metazoa; Chordata; Mammalia; Rodentia; Muridae
Description: long non-coding RNA NONRATT000313
Source: RNAcentral